CACGCCGUAAACGAUGAUGACUAGGUGUUGGGGAAACUCAGUGCCGCAGUUAACACAUUAAGUCAUCCGCCUGGGGAGUACGACCGCAAGGUUGAAACUCAAAGGAAUUGACGGGGACCC
Molecule: ribosomal RNA, 120 nt
Filed under: uncultured bacterium
Lineage: Bacteria
Description: partial 16S ribosomal RNA
Rfam family: Bacterial small subunit ribosomal RNA
Source: RNAcentral